This 140-nucleotide ribosomal RNA is filed under the name uncultured eukaryote. RNAcentral describes it as "partial 18S ribosomal RNA". It matches the Rfam family "Eukaryotic small subunit ribosomal RNA", at positions 1299 to 1458 of the family's 1831-position model. The record is from RNAcentral.
UGGUGGAGUGAUUUGUCUGGUUAAUUCCGUUAACGAACGAGACCUCGACCUGCUAAAUAGUUCAACGUAAGCUUUGCUUAUGUAUGCACUUCUUAGAGGGACUGUCGGUUCUUAGCCGAAGGAAGUUCGAGGCAAUAACA